GGGUCGACUUCGCUAGCGCUGGUAAACGUCGGCUAUUCGUGGUUAGCCUUAGAACCUUUAACGUUGGCAACGUUAAACGUUAGUUACGCUUGUGUUUAUUGUGUAGUCGAAUUUUGUUGAAAAUAUUAAGUAUUUUUUCAUAAGACAGUUUAAAGUAUAUAUUGUAGAGAAAGUGCAAACGAGAAUUCGAAUUAUGGAAAAGUUGGAAAAUACAGUUUGAAUUGAAAAUAUUUGAAAGUGAAAAUGCAUAGUGAAAACGGCACAAAAUCAACUGUAAAUACCAGUUUGUAAAAAAUAUACAUAUAUAUGAAAUUCUAGUGAGCUUACAUAAAAAAUCGACCACUUUUAAGCCAGAAGAAGUCUUGUAAGAAAGCAAUGUAGUUGUUUAAUUUAUUUAGUAUAUAUCGAAUAUAAAGAUGAAUAAUAAAUGGAAAAUGCAUAUUCACGCAUAAAUUUUAAAUGCAGGAUCAUCAGAGUUAAUUACAAUUAAUCGAUAAACUCAGUGCACCCAUAAAUCACAAUGAAAGUGUGACAAUUGCAAGUGUUUAUACUUACAGCGCUGCAUACCAUAUAUAAAAUAUUUGUGUGUAUAUAUCAAUGUAUAUUUAUACAAAAAAAAUAAAUAUAAAAUUAUUAAAGCCCUACUUUAGUGUAUACAAAAUAAAUAAGAAAAUAGUGAAAUCUGAAUUGCCAAGGAGAAGCUAAUGAAGCAUAAUGCAUACAUUUUAUUAUAACGACUGACUGAAAAUAAUUGCGACAAUUUAUUCAUACGUCUACGGGUGCUUCCCGCUUCAAGUAUAAUGAAUCGUUAUAUUACACUCUCACAAUUGGGUGAUGGCACAUACGGCACAGUGGUGUUAGCUCAACGCAAGGACACUGGCGAAAAGGUGGCUAUCAAACGUAUGAAACGAAAAUAUUACUCCUGGGAGGAGGCGAUGAAUUUGCGAGAAGUCAAGUCACUUAAGAAACUCUCUCAUCCUAAUAUUGUAAAACUGAAGGAAGUCAUACGCGAGAAUGACACGUUAUAUUUUGUUUUUGAAUAUAUGAAAGAGAAUUUAUACCAAAUGAUUAAGGACCGUGACACACAUUUGCCAGAACCGACGCUCAAAAGUAUACUGUUUCAGGUACUCACAGGCUUGGCGUUUAUGCACCGCCAUGGAUUUUUCCAUCGUGACUUGAAGCCGGAGAAUUUACUUUGCUCUGGACCGGAGCUUAUUAAAAUUGCAGAUUUCGGCUUAGCACGCGAGGUACGUUCGCGACCGCCAUUCACGGACUAUGUGUCGACAAGAUGGUAUCGAGCGCCAGAGGUACUGCUGCAUUCCACAAACUAUGGCAGUUCCAUAGAUUUAUGGGCAAUGGGUUGCAUCAUGGCGGAGCUCUACACAUUUCGGCCACUCUUUCCGGGUAGCAGUGAAGUGGAUCAGCUGUUUAAGAUUUGUUCUGUUUUAGGAACGCCAGAGAAGGGAGAAUGGCCCGAAGGCUAUAGACUCGCUGCUACGAUACACUUUCGUUAUCCGGAAUGCAUCAAGGUGCCGCUCAAUACGAUUGUGACACGCUGCAGUCAGGCGGGAUUGGAUUUGUUGGAGGACAUGCUGCACUAUGAUCCUGAUAAGCGACCCACGGCACAGCAGAGCCUUAAAUAUGCCUAUUUUCAUGCGCUGAAACGUAUCUCACCCACGGCGGCGGCGAAAGCCAACGUCAAACUUACGGCCAAAUAUGCGGCAGCGGCUCCUGCUGCCAAUAUAAAUGCAACAACCAAUGCGAAUGCGAAUACGAAUGUCAAUGGCAGAAAUGCGGGGCAAUUGCCGAAUUUAUCGAAUAAUGUGCUUCCGGUGCAGGAGAAACUACAAGCGGUUACGGAGCUGCUGCAGCAAGGUAAUCGACAGCACAACAAUAGCAAUACCAUUAAUGCCAAUAACGCCGUAAAUGCAACGUUGAACAACAACAACAAUCGCGGGUACAACAAUAUGUAUGCUAGACGUGCGAUAAUUCCAUUGGCACAAAACCCCAACCAAAUGCAAGCGCCCAAAAUCAGUUUCCUGUCAAUAAAUGGUGGUGAUGCGACACGCUCCACAAUGCCGGUACAAAUGGCAGCUGUAAAUGCGCAGCAAAACACGCAUAUAAACAACAGUAUGCCGGCGAAUGCUAUAAACAAUGCCGCAAAUCGGCAAUUCCGUGACCAACUUGAAGAUAAUCUCUCGAUAAAGAGCGGCUCCAUACGCUACAACACAAUACUCGCGCCCUCCAGUCACAUAUAUCUGAACGGUGUCGGUGAAGCUGCGCUCCACAAGCGUUCACAGGAGAACCUCGCAUUCACCGAGUCCAUAAACGAUAUCUACUUGAAUCGCAACACCGGUCAGUUGCAGCCGCCACAACCGGCAAAUGUUUCUUUCAAUAACAGCGCUAACCCUGUAGGAAAUAUUAAAGCCGGUGUCAUCUAUUUGGCGAAUGGCCAUCGAAAUUAUGCACUCUUUGAGACCGCCACGAAGAAUGCUAAGAAUUCGGCGAAAAUUAAUAACUAUUACCUGCAGACACGUCCAAGCUUGUUGAACCUCGAUGCAGUUGGUAAGGAUGCGAAGGUCUAUAAUAUGUUCUCCAAGGUGGUGCCCAAACAAGCGCCACCAAGCAAUAUAAUUAUGCGUAAUGCCUUCGAACCGAACGGAGACAGCAAUGAUUAUACAAAAAAUAAUGAGCAAACCGUGGAGAAACCACUUUUCGAGCGUCUCGGUGGCGACAAAAAGUCGACCUUGCCGAACGGUCGAAAUACGGAGCGCAGUAAGGACGAUGAACUCGAUCUUAUAUUAGGUUCGAAAAUCAAAACAUCAGCCAAACGUCAACGUCAACGCAAUGGAAAAGCAAAUAUUUUGCUUGAAGAUCUCUUCGGGCACCUAUCGCUCGAUUCGGAUAGCGAAACAACAAAGUAUCCAAAUACAGUUCCAUUAACGACGCAACAACAACAAACAUUAGCGGAACGUAACUCCAAUUUGCCAAAUGGUUAUUCCAAUGAGACUUCAUUGACGGAGAAGAGUAAGAUGUACAUACCUAGUAGCAUUGAAGUAAAUAACGGUAGUUAUGCUGACUCGCUGUCGACAAAUGCUUCUAGUAUAUCUAAGGAUUCACUUGACCCGCCCACAGAUGAUGAGUGCCAAUUUUGGCCCAUUAGGUAGUGGACAGUAAUUAGUUAAUACAACAAAAAAUUAAGAACUAAUAAUUAGCAUACAAAACGGCGGGUAUAUCGAAAAGGAUUGUAUUUCAGAUGUCUUGCUGGUUGCUGAUUCCACGAUUUACGAUAUAGCCAGUACUCAUAAUACCAUAUAGUAUAUACCACCUUCAACUCAUCACAAUCGAAAAUUCUACUUAAUUUGAACUUAAGUGAGUUGAUCCACAGUCCGUUGAGCAGACAAAAGCAAAAAUGCAACCAUGGGACGGUACGAAUAAGACAGAAGAUGAGAAAUUGACGGCGUGG
Molecule: unclassified non-coding RNA, 3466 nt
Filed under: Bactrocera tryoni
Lineage: Eukaryota; Metazoa; Arthropoda; Insecta; Diptera; Tephritidae
Description: probable serine/threonine-protein kinase DDB_G0268078, transcript variant X3
Source: RNAcentral